RNAcentral lists this ribosomal RNA (254 nucleotides) under uncultured bacterium. RNAcentral's name for it is "partial 16S ribosomal RNA". It matches the Rfam family "Bacterial small subunit ribosomal RNA", at positions 524 to 776 of the family's 1533-position model. The record is from RNAcentral.
UACGUAGGGUGCGAGCGUUUAUCCGGAAUUAUUGGGCGUAAAGAGCUCGUAGGCGGUUUGUCGCGUCUGUCGUGAAAGUCCGGGGCUUAACCCCGGAUCUGCGGUGGGUACGGGCAGACUAGAGUGCAGUAGGGGAGACUGGAAUUCCUGGUGUAGCGGUGGAAUGCGCAGAUAUCAGGAGGAACACCGAUGGCGAAGGCAGGUCUCUGGGCUGUAACUGACGCUGAGGAGCGAAAGCAUGGGGAGCGAACAGG